This 545-nucleotide ribosomal RNA is filed under the name Helicobacter pylori. RNAcentral's name for it is "partial large subunit ribosomal RNA". It matches the Rfam family "Bacterial large subunit ribosomal RNA", at positions 1616 to 2171 of the family's 2925-position model. The record is from RNAcentral. Lineage: Bacteria; Pseudomonadati; Campylobacterota; Epsilonproteobacteria; Campylobacterales; Helicobacteraceae.
AGCCUCUAAGCAUAUCCAUAGUCGUCCGUACCGCAAACCGACACAGGUAGAUGAGAUGAGUAUUCUAAGGCGCGUGAAAGAACUCUGGUUAAGGAACUCUGCAAACUAGCACCGUAAGUUCGCGAUAAGGUGUGCCGCAGCAAUGCGGUCUCAGCAAAGAGUCCCUCCCGACUGUUUACCAAAAACACAGCACUUUGCCAACUCGUAAGAGGAAGUAUAAGGUGUGACGCCUGCCCGGUGCUCGAAGGUUAAAAGGAUGCGUCAGUCGCAAGAUGAAGCGUUGAAUUGAAGCCCGAGUAAACGGCGGCCGUAACUAUAACGGUCCUAAGGUAGCGAAAUUCCUUGUCGGUUAAAUACCGACCUGCAUGAAUGGCGUAACGAGAUGGGAGCUGUCUCAACCAGAGAUUCAGUGAAAUUGUAGUGGAGGUGAAAAUUCCUCCUACCCGCGGCAAGACGGAAAGACCCCGUGGACCUUUACUACAACUUAGCACUGCUAACGGGAAUACCAUGCGCAGGAUAGGUGGGAGGCUUUGAAGUAAGGGCUU